UACGUAGGGUGCAGGCGUUAAUCGGAAUUACUGGGCGUAAAGCGUGCGCAGGCGGUUUGCUAAGACAGGUGUGAAAUCCCCGGGCUUAACCUGGGAACUGCGCUUGUAACUGGCAAGCUAGAGUGUGGCAGAGGGGGGUGGAAUUCCACGUGUAGCAGUGAAAUGCGUAGAGAUGUGGAGGAACACCGAUGGCGAAGGCAGCCCCCUGGGCUAACACUGACGCUCAUGCACGAAAGCGUGGGGAGCAAACAGG
Molecule: ribosomal RNA, 253 nt
Filed under: uncultured bacterium
Lineage: Bacteria
Also listed under: 1 other name
Description: partial 16S ribosomal RNA
Rfam family: Bacterial small subunit ribosomal RNA
Source: RNAcentral